RNAcentral lists this ribosomal RNA (1388 nucleotides) under Escherichia coli. Its description in RNAcentral is "partial 23S ribosomal RNA". It matches the Rfam family "Bacterial large subunit ribosomal RNA", at positions 96 to 1529 of the family's 2925-position model. The record is from RNAcentral. Lineage: Bacteria; Pseudomonadati; Pseudomonadota; Gammaproteobacteria; Enterobacterales; Enterobacteriaceae.
CGUUAUAACCGGCGAUUUCCGAAUGGGGAAACCCAGUGUGAUUCGUCACACUAUCAUUAACUGAAUCCAUAGGUUAAUGAGGCGAACCGGGGGAACUGAAACAUCUAAGUACCCCGAGGAAAAGAAAUCAACCGAGAUUCCCCCAGUAGCGGCGAGCGAACGGGGAGGAGCCCAGAGCCUGAAUCAGUGUGUGUGUUAGUGGAAGCGUCUGGAAAGGCGCGCGAUACAGGGUGACAGCCCCGUACACAAAAAUGCACAUGCUGUGAGCUCGAUGAGUAGGGCGGGACACGUGGUAUCCUGUCUGAAUAUGGGGGGACCAUCCUCCAAGGCUAAAUACUCCUGACUGACCGAUAGUGAACCAGUACCGUGAGGGAAAGGCGAAAAGAACCCCGGCGAGGGGAGUGAAAAAGAACCUGAAACCGUGUACGUACAAGCAGUGGGAGCACGCUUAGGCGUGUGACUGCGUACCUUUUGUAUAAUGGGUCAGCGACUUAUAUUCUGUAGCAAGGUUAACCGAAUAGGGGAGCCGAAGGGAAACCGAGUCUUAACUGGGCGUUAAGUUGCAGGGUAUAGACCCGAAACCCGGUGAUCUAGCCAUGGGCAGGUUGAAGGUUGGGUAACACUAACUGGAGGACCGAACCGACUAAUGUUGAAAAAUUAGCGGAUGACUUGUGGCUGGGGGUGAAAGGCCAAUCAAACCGGGAGAUAGCUGGUUCUCCCCGAAAGCUAUUUAGGUAGCGCCUCGUGAAUUCAUCUCCGGGGGUAGAGCACUGUUUCGGCAAGGGGGUCAUCCCGACUUACCAACCCGAUGCAAACUGCGAAUACCGGAGAAUGUUAUCACGGGAGACACACGGCGGGUGCUAACGUCCGUCGUGAAGAGGGAAACAACCCAGACCGCCAGCUAAGGUCCCAAAGUCAUGGUUAAGUGGGAAACGAUGUGGGAAGGCCCAGACAGCCAGGAUGUUGGCUUAGAAGCAGCCAUCAUUUAAAGAAAGCGUAAUAGCUCACUGGUCGAGUCGGCCUGCGCGGAAGAUGUAACGGGGCUAAACCAUGCACCGAAGCUGCGGCAGCGACGCUUAUGCGUUGUUGGGUAGGGGAGCGUUCUGUAAGCCUGCGAAGGUGUGCUGUGAGGCAUGCUGGAGGUAUCAGAAGUGCGAAUGCUGACAUAAGUAACGAUAAAGCGGGUGAAAAGCCCGCUCGCCGGAAGACCAAGGGUUCCUGUCCAACGUUAAUCGGGGCAGGGUGAGUCGACCCCUAAGGCGAGGCCGAAAGGCGUAGUCGAUGGGAAACAGGUUAAUAUUCCUGUACUUGGUGUUACUGCGAAGGGGGGACGGAGAAGGCUAUGUUGGCCGGGCGACGGUUGUCCCGGUUUAAGCGUGUAGGCUGGU